RNAcentral lists this unclassified non-coding RNA (205 nucleotides) under Hevea brasiliensis (rubber tree). Lineage: Eukaryota; Viridiplantae; Streptophyta; Magnoliopsida; Malpighiales; Euphorbiaceae. The record is from RNAcentral.
UGGAUUUAAUAAGACUGGAUUACCAAGUGCUUUUUGGAAUUUCAUGGAGCCACAUGCUCAGAUUGAUCGUGUUUCUGGGACUGUUGUUCUUGCUCUUGUCAUACUGUACCUCUCAAACUUGGCUUCGAACGUGCCUACUGUUCUUCUGCUUGGAGCACGGGUCGCUGCAUCAGCUGCUGCAAUAUCUGCAGCUCAAGAAAAACGG